GACGAACGCUGGCGGCGUGCUUAACACAUGCAAGUCGAACGGAAAGGCCCUGCUUUUGUGGGGUGCUCGAGUGGCGAACGGGUGUGUAACACGUGAGUAACCUGCCCUUGACUUUGGGAUAACUUCAGGAAACUGGGGCUAAUACCGGAUAGGAGCUCCUGCUGCAUGGUGGGGGUUGGAAAGUUUCGGCGGUUGGGGAUGGACUCGCGGGUUAUCAGCUUGUUGGUGGGGUAGUGGCUUACCAAGGCUUUGACGGGUAGCCGGCCUGAGAGGGUGACCGGCCACAUUGGGACUGAGAGACGGCGCAGACUCCUACGGGAGGCAGCAGUGGGGAAUAUUGCACAAUGGGCGGAAGCCUGAUGCAGCAACGCCGCGUGCGGGAUGACGGCCUUCGGGUUGUAAACCGCUUUCGCCUGUGACGAAGCGUGAGUGACGGUAAUGGGUAAAGAAGCACCGGCUAACUACGUG
RNAcentral lists this ribosomal RNA (468 nucleotides) under uncultured bacterium. Its description in RNAcentral is "partial 16S ribosomal RNA". It matches the Rfam family "Bacterial small subunit ribosomal RNA", at positions 28 to 507 of the family's 1533-position model. The record is from RNAcentral.